RNAcentral lists this ribosomal RNA (253 nucleotides) under uncultured bacterium. Its description in RNAcentral is "partial 16S ribosomal RNA". It matches the Rfam family "Bacterial small subunit ribosomal RNA", at positions 524 to 776 of the family's 1533-position model. The record is from RNAcentral.
UACGUAGGGUGCAAGCGUUGUCCGGAAUUAUUGGGCGUAAAGAGCUCGUAGGCGGUCUGUCGCGUCUGCUGUGAAAAUCCAGGGCUCAACCCUGGACCUGCAGUGGGUACGGGCAGACUAGAGUGCGGUAGGGGAGAUCGGAAUUCCUGGUGUAGCGGUGAAAUGCGCAGAUAUCAGGAGGAACACCGGUGGCGAAGGCGGUUCUCUGGGCAUUACCUGACGCUGAGGAGCGAAAGUGUGGGGAGCGAACGGG